CUCUUCAUAGUUUUCUUUUACAAUGUGAUUGCUGCAUAUAACCAUUGUACAAAUAAUAGGGGUAAAAUAAAAAGUAAACCGAACUAAAAUGCCUUUUACUUGACCGACUUACUUUUUUUUUUGAACUAAAGUAUCCUUGUGGUUACUUGUUACGUUGACGCAGAGCAUAAUAAUAGUAAUAAUAAAAUAAUUUUAAAUUCAUGAACUAAUAAUUUACAUCAUCUUAAAAAAUACAUGUCGAGUCUUUGGGAAGCUUGGCUACCUUAGAACGCUAGGCGAACGAUUGGACCUCAUGGAUAAUCUACUUUCACUUCUCUUUACUCUUUGACCCUCCAGCAAAGAUCUAUAUUUAUCAAA
Molecule: non-coding RNA, 357 nt
Organism: Schizosaccharomyces pombe (fission yeast)
Lineage: Eukaryota; Fungi; Ascomycota; Schizosaccharomycetes; Schizosaccharomycetales; Schizosaccharomycetaceae
Source: the annotation of a GenBank genome assembly